AGAAAUUUUAAAAAUCAAAAGAAUAAGGUUGAGAAGACCUAUUUUUAUUGUAAGAAAAUUGGGCACAUCAAGUUUAAUUGUCCUAAGCUAAAAAUAAAAAUAGGAAUCAAGAUAACAACCAUGUUCGAAAUAAUCAAAAUAAGAAAAAAGGACUUGAUCUGCGUAGUCCUAGAAUCAAUAGUUGUCGAUCAUGACCUGAGAAAUUUGUGGGUCAAUUCAGCCUCCACACGACAUGUCUUGAAGACAAAAUAUGGAUUCAAAGAAUUGAAAAAGAUUGCAGGCAGUAACCAACGGAUUUAUAUGGCCAAUGACACUUAUUGCGAUGUACUAGGUGUUGGUACUUUCAAGCUGUGUUGACCAAGAUGAACAAAUCUCUUAUUGACUGAUACAUUGUAUGCGCCCAAUAUGAGGUGCAAUUUGAUUUAUGUCCCAAGGCUAG
RNAcentral lists this long non-coding RNA (439 nucleotides) under Amborella trichopoda. RNAcentral describes it as "long non-coding RNA (ATRI_LNC004272)". The record is from RNAcentral. Lineage: Eukaryota; Viridiplantae; Streptophyta; Magnoliopsida; Amborellales; Amborellaceae.